GUGGAUUAGAUACCCUGGUAGUCCACGCCCUAAACGAUGUCGACUAGUUGUUCGGGAAGGUGACUUCUUGAGUAACGUAGCUAACGCGUGAAGUCGACCGCCUGGGGAGUACGGCCGCAAGGUUAAAACUCAAAGAAAUUGACGGGGACCCGCACAAGCGGUGGAUGAUGUGGAUUAAUUCGAUGCAACGCGAAAAACCUUACCUACCCUUGACAUGCCUGGAAGUCUGCAGAGAUGCGGAUGUGCCUUCGGGAACCAGGACACAGGUGCUGCACGGUCGUCGACAGCU
Molecule: ribosomal RNA, 289 nt
Filed under: uncultured bacterium
Lineage: Bacteria
Description: partial 16S ribosomal RNA
Rfam family: Bacterial small subunit ribosomal RNA
Source: RNAcentral